This 404-nucleotide RNase P RNA is filed under the name Streptomyces aidingensis. RNAcentral describes it as "Streptomyces sp. TRM46012 Bacterial RNase P class A". It matches the Rfam family "Bacterial RNase P class A". From Rfam's summary of the family: Ribonuclease P (RNase P) is a ubiquitous endoribonuclease, found in archaea, bacteria and eukarya as well as chloroplasts and mitochondria. Its best characterised activity is the generation of mature 5'-ends of tRNAs by cleaving the 5'-leader elements of precursor-tRNAs. The record is from Rfam by way of RNAcentral. Lineage: Bacteria; Bacillati; Actinomycetota; Actinomycetes; Kitasatosporales; Streptomycetaceae.
CGAGCCGGGCGGGCGGUCGCGUCGGGACGUAUGGUCCCGCCGAGGAACGUCCGGGCUCCGCAGGGCAGGGUGGUGGCUAACGGCCACCCGGGGUGACCCGCGAGACAGUGCCACAGAAAACAGACCGCCGGGGUCCGUCAGGACUCCCGGUAAGGGUGAAACGGUGGUGUAAGAGACCACCAGCGCCCAGGGUGACCUGGGCGGCUCGGUAAACCUCACCCGGAGCAAGGUCAAGAGGGGCCGUCGGCCGACGGCCCUGCGCGGACGUUCGAGGGCGGCCCGCCCGAGUCCGCGGGUAGACCGCUGGAGGCUGCCGGCAACGGCAGCCCUAGAUGGAUGGCCGCCGCCUCGGCCGGCCGCGAGGCCCCGAGGCACAGAACCCGGCGUACAGCCCGGCUCGUCUG